GCGGGAGGGAUACCUCCUGGGUAUUCUCGAGAUCCAGCUCUCGGUUCCUGAGAUCUUGGAAUCUGCUCACACGUGGCUUGUACGGCGGAGGUUGUCCGGUCAGCGGGUUGCGGAGGAUCCCGCAGGUAGCAAAGGGAGGGCGAGGGCCCCUGCGACCCCAGACUGCGACUAGGUCACCCACUCCAUGACAUUCAUCCUUUAGUAUCUGCUCUUCGCUAAGGAGAAAACAACACCACCUGUCAUCUGUUAACCCGAGGACAGAAUGCCCAGGUGAGCCUGACUCACAGUACCUGUACUUAGCUAACCUUGACCACGUGCUGCCAAAGCUCCUGCAAGCCCUCCCUCCAAGCACAGCAGCAGCCCAGCUCCGGAGCGGACAGGCAUUCCACCCCACAGAAGUGAUCUGCUGUCACCUACUCUUGGGGGGCAAAGGGGAUUAUGGGGAGAUUAGAAGAAGAUAGAUGGGCCCACUCCGUCAACCCAUAUUGUUAUCAGACAAUUCAUUCUGGUCCACACAACAACCCCACCGGUGCACUGACUGAGGGGAGCCACGUGUUUAGUUCCCUGGACUC
Molecule: long non-coding RNA, 572 nt
Organism: Myotis myotis
Lineage: Eukaryota; Metazoa; Chordata; Mammalia; Chiroptera; Vespertilionidae
Exons: 3
Source: RefSeq, a predicted model, not a curated record